UGGGGAAUCUUGCACAAUGGGCGGAAGCCUGAUGCAGCGACGCCGCGUGGGGGAUGACGGCCUUCGGGUUGUAAACUCCUUUCGCCAGGGACGAAGCCGUGAGGUGACGGUACCUGGAUAAGAAGCACCGGCUAACUACGUGCCAGCAGCCGCGGUAAUACGUAGGGUGCGAGCGUUGUCCGGAAUUACUGGGCGUAAAGAGCUCGUAGGUGGUUUGUCGCGUCGUCUGUGAAAUUCCGGGGCUUAACUCCGGGCGUGCAGGCGAUACGGGCAUAACUUGAGUGCUGUAGGGGAGACUGGAAUUCCUGGUGUAGCGGUGAAAUGCGCAGAUAUAAGGAGGAACACCGAUGGCGAAGGCAGGUCUCUGGGCAGUAACUGACGCUGAGGAGCGAAAGCAUGGGUAGCGAACAGG
This 412-nucleotide ribosomal RNA is filed under the name Bacillota bacterium. RNAcentral's name for it is "Firmicutes bacterium partial 16S ribosomal RNA". It matches the Rfam family "Bacterial small subunit ribosomal RNA", at positions 355 to 776 of the family's 1533-position model. The record is from RNAcentral. Lineage: Bacteria; Bacillati; Bacillota.